This 572-nucleotide ribosomal RNA is filed under the name uncultured bacterium. Its description in RNAcentral is "partial 16S ribosomal RNA". It matches the Rfam family "Bacterial small subunit ribosomal RNA", at positions 355 to 937 of the family's 1533-position model. The record is from RNAcentral.
UGGGGAAUAUUGCACAAUGGGCGCAAGCCUGAUGCAGCAACGCCGCGUGAGGGACGACGGCCUUCGGGCUGUAAACCUCUUUUAGUAGGGAAGAAGCGAAAGUGACGGUACCUGCAGAAAAAUGCACCGGCUAACUACGUGCCAGCAGCCGCGGUAAUACGUAGGGUGCGAGCGUUGUCCGGAAUUAUUGGGCGUAAAGAGCUCGUAGGCGGUCUGUCGCGUCUGCUGUGAAAAAUCCCCGAGGCUCAACCUCGGGCCUGCAGUGGGUACGGGCAGACUAGAGUGCGGUAGGGGAGAAUGGAAUUCCUGGUGUAGCGGUGAAUGCGCAGAUAUCAGGAGGAACACCGAUGGCGAAGGCAGUUCUCUGGGCCGUAACUGACGCUGAGGAGCGAAAAGCGUGGGGAGCGAACAGGAUUAGAUACCCUGGUAGUCCACGCCGUAAACGUUGGGCGCUAGAUGUGGGGACCAUUCCACGGUUUCCGUGUCGCAGCUAACGCAUUAAGCGCCCCGCCUGGGGAGUACGGCCGCAAGGCUAAAAGCUCAAAUGAAUUGACGGGGUCAUAGCUGUUUCC